CGGGGUGCAGCAGGCGCGAAAACUCUACAAUGCAGGCAACUGCGAUAGGGGAACAUCGAGUGAUCCUCAUAUUGGGGGUCUGUCCACCCGUCUAAAAAACGGGUGUUAGCAAGGGCCGGGCAAGACCGGUGCCAGCCGCCGCGGUAAUACCGGCGGCUCGAGUGGUGGCCGAUAUUAUUGAGUCUAAAGGGUCCGUAGCCGGCUUUGCAAGUCUCUCGGGAAAUCCAGCGGCUUAACCGUUGGUCGUCCGGGGGGUACUACAUUGCUUGGGACUGGGAGAGGUAGGAGGUACUCAGGGGGUAGGAGUGAAAUCCUGUAAUCCUCUGGGGACCACCGGUGGCGAAGGCGUCCUACCAGAACAGGUCCGACGGUGAGGGACGAAAGCUAGGGGCACGAACCGGAUUAGAUACCCGGGUAGUCCUAGCCGUAAACGAUGCUCGCUAGGUGUCACAACAGUCGUGAACUGUUGUGGUGCCGUAGGGAAGCCGUGAAGCGAGCCACUUGGGAAGUACGACCGCAAGGUUGAAACUUAAAGGAAUUGGC
RNAcentral lists this ribosomal RNA (543 nucleotides) under uncultured archaeon. Its description in RNAcentral is "bacterial SSU rRNA". It matches the Rfam family "Archaeal small subunit ribosomal RNA", at positions 326 to 869 of the family's 1478-position model. The record is from RNAcentral.